AUUGAACGCUGGCGGCAUGCCUUACACAUGCAAGUCGAACGGUAACAGGCUUUCGGGUGCUGACGAGUGGCUAACGGGUGAGUAAUACAUCGGAAAGUGCCCGAUCGUGGGGGAUAACGUGGCGAAAGCUUUGCUAAUACCGCAUACGAUCUACGGAUGAAAGCGGGGGAUCUUCGGGGCUCGCGCGGACGGAGGGGCCGAUGGCAGAUUCGGUAGUUGGUGGGAUAAGAGCUUACCAAGCCGACGAUCUGGAGCUGGUCUGAGAGAAUGAUCCGCCACACUGGGACUGAGACGCGCCCCAGAGUCCUGCGGGAGGCAGCAGUGGGGUAUUUUGGGCAAUGGGCGAGAGCAUGAUCCAGCCAGGCCGCGUGCAGGAUGAAGGCCUUCGGUUUGUAAACUGCGUUUUUACGGAGCGAACAGCCUCUUCCUAAGAAAGAGGGGUCAUGACGGUACCGGAUGAAUAAGCACCGGCUAACUACGUG
RNAcentral lists this ribosomal RNA (482 nucleotides) under uncultured bacterium. RNAcentral describes it as "partial 16S ribosomal RNA". It matches the Rfam family "Bacterial small subunit ribosomal RNA", at positions 30 to 507 of the family's 1533-position model. The record is from RNAcentral.